Molecule: long non-coding RNA, 1387 nt
Organism: Bubalus bubalis (water buffalo)
Lineage: Eukaryota; Metazoa; Chordata; Mammalia; Artiodactyla; Bovidae
Exons: 2
Source: RefSeq, a predicted model, not a curated record
GCCCCGAAGCUCCGGGAGCAGGCGGUGCGGCCGGUCUCCCGUCCACGCACUAACGCUAACCCUUUGUGCUUCCCGCGGGGCCGAGCGCCCGGCUGCUGAGUCCUGGGUUUAUCUCUGCCUGUGGCCGAGUGCUUUCCCGUUGACAGCUCCUGAGUGCCCGGCCGCGACGGAGCUCCGCGGGGAGGACGGCGUCUGGCCGCUGGGUUCCGUGUGCGAACCGACGGCAUCCAUUACCUCAGUUGCAGGCAUCUCUAGUCUGUUCCUUUAUUUUUUAUUUUAUCCUCACUUUCACGCCAAAUUCUGAAUAUUGUCUGUUCUUUUAAUUUCUGGAAAUAUUCUAACUUUAAAUAGUAACAUAUUCAUUCUAGGAAAUUUUCAGGUUUUUGUAGCAAAAUGAUCCAUACAUUGGACCGGACUUAAUAGCUUUAGAAGAAAACUUCUCGGAUUUCCCUGGUGGUACAAUAAAGCAAAUGAGACUAGAAGUAAUCAAGGGACUUUCCUAGUAGACCAGAUGAACAUCCAUCAUAACACAGAACUGUCAGUUUGAGUUUCUGUUCCAAGCAGACCUAAAAUUAACUUAAAAAAUUAACACAUGCAUAUAUCAAACUGUUAAAUGAAUACUAAGUAAAUAAGUCGCUGCUUCAGUUCAGUUCAGUUCAGUCACUGCUUAGCUCAUCUUAAAGUCUUUCUCUGCAUGAGCCCCACAUACCAUCUGUGGCUCCGCACACGAUGGCAGCAGGGCUCAUGGAACAGAAAGAUCUGCAAGCACGCAUCUGUGCCAGAAACAGGACAAGAGCACAGAAGAGAGCUACCAACCGACAGAGACCCCUGAGGAAGAGAGUGAGAAGAAGAGAAGACGGGACAGGCAAAGGCAGGGAUCCAAGAGGAGCAGCAGAAGAGUGGAUCCUGGAGGCAGGACACUCCCUGCCUGAAGAGAGCCUCGGGCUGCAGACUGAUGGUUCACCAUCAGCAUGACCCUGACCACAGAGGCAAAGGUGUGGACAAGCGCAUCCCAGCAAAACUCCUGAAUUCCAAGCAUAUUUAUAAAAUAUAAGCAUUUACUCACACCGCAGAAGGCGACACGACCACAACUUGAUGACAACUUCAGGUGCGGAACAUGGUCAGAGAGACAAGAGCUCGGCUCACCUCUCCCGGAGCGCCUCCAGCGAGCCCUCCGGGGACUUGGGCUUCAGGACCACCCCACUGGGACAGGGCUCCCACUUCCCGUCUCCAGGGUCAGUCUCCUCCGCUCUUUCUUUUGGUUUCUCAGUGCUCGGCUCCUCUCCCUUUUCUGGUUUUUUGAGAAGCUGAGAAAUUAUAAUGCUAGUAAAAUACCACUUUAAGAGUAUAUUAAAAAGAAAGUAUUUAAUAAAUAAUUUAAAAUAUA